Molecule: ribosomal RNA, 451 nt
Filed under: uncultured Chloroflexota bacterium
Lineage: Bacteria; Bacillati; Chloroflexota
Description: bacterial SSU rRNA
Rfam family: Bacterial small subunit ribosomal RNA
Source: RNAcentral
CCGCACAAGCAGCGGAGCGUGUGUUUAAUUCGAUGCAACGCGAAGAACCUUACCAAGGCUUGACAUGUUAGAAGUAGAAACUACGAAAGAGCAACGACCCGUAUCCAGUCAGGAGCUUUCACAGGUGCCGCAUGGUUGUCGUCAGCUCGUGCCGUGAGGUGUUAGGUUAAGUCCUGCAACGAGCGCAACCCUCGUCGCUAGUUAAUUUCUCUAGCGAUACUGCCCGUAAAACGUGGAGGAAGGUGGGGAUGACGUCAAAUCAGCAUGGCCUUUAUGUCUUGGGCUACACACACGCUACAAUGGAUGGUACAAAGGGUUGCCAAAGAGCGAUCUGGAGCUAAUCCCAAAAACCAUUCGUAGUCCGGAUCGCAGUCUGCAACUCGACUGCGUGAAGUCGGAAUCGCUAGUAAUCGUGGAUCAGAAUGUCACGGUGAAUACGUUCCCGGGUCUU